CCUACGGGUGGCAGCAGUGGGGGAUAUUGGACAAUGGGGGAAACCCUGAUCCAGCGACGCCGCGUGAGUGAAGAAGUAUUUCGGUAUGUAAAGCUCUGUCAGCAGGGAAGAAAGAAAUGACGUUACCUGUCCAAGAAGCCCGGGCUAACUACGGGCCAGCAGCCGCGGUAAUAGGUGGGGGGCAAGCGUUAUCCGGAAUUACUGGGUGGAAAGGGAGCGUAGACGGUGAUGCAAGUCUGGAGUGAAAGGCGGGGGCCCAACCCCCGGACUGCUCUGGAAACUGUGUAACUUGAGUGCAGGAGAGGUAAGCGGGAUUCCUAGUGUUGCGGUGAAAGUCGUAGGUAAUAAGAGGGAAACC
This 358-nucleotide ribosomal RNA is filed under the name uncultured bacterium. Its description in RNAcentral is "partial 16S ribosomal RNA". It matches the Rfam family "Bacterial small subunit ribosomal RNA", at positions 338 to 710 of the family's 1533-position model. The record is from RNAcentral.